UUAUUUCACCAACCCAUUAAAUAUUUCCAUCCAAGCAAUGCAAUCAACAAAAAAAUCCAAACAAAGUCGAUACCCAACCCACUCGCCUUUCUCUUCUUCCUCGCGUGAGCAGACGCAAAAAUUAGAACGCCAGUGAAUCCAGAUACUAGCAAGCCAUGGAGAGGUUCAGGCGCGUGAACAGCGAGAGCAAGUGUAACGGAAAGUGGGGAAGAGCAGGCCAAUAUCAUGCCCUCAACUCAUUUGAUUCGCAACAACAGAGCAAGGCACGCGAAUUAGUCCUUGACGUGGCGAGAUGAGUCCACGUAGAGUCUCAAGUACGAGGCAACCGAUCUCAAGUGUCGAUUCUCCCCUCCCUUUCUGAAAUGAGACGAUUUUUUUCAGAAAAGGGUUGUCGAUCCAAAAUUGGAAAAGGGUUUUUGAAAUUCAAACUUAGGGUGGGCCUUUCCCAUCAAGAUCCGAUCGUAUUUUCACCCUAAAAGUCCACUAGUUUGUCUCCUAUAUAUACUCUUUCGUCUUUACUAUGAGAGAAGGGAUUUUUUUUGAGAAAUAUUAAGACGGAAUUACAGAGAAUCGAAAAAAAAGGAAGAAAUUUUGGUCUCAGUAAGGAAAAUUAAAAAAGUUGGCUACUAUUUUUACCCAUCCCAAUAGAACAACUUAGGAUAAAUAGAGUUUGUCACUUGUGUUUUAGGUUCUCAUCUGUUUGGGUUGAAGAAGUCGUCUCCAACUCGUUUCUCAUCUCGGCUUGCUGCACCUCGAAAGCAUUUUCCUGUUGGGAUGAGACCUAGUUGAUCCUUUUGAGUUGACUUCAUCAAUUCGAAAGUCCACUGGGAAGGCCCCGCAAAAUUUCUUCUCUCAAGUCAGCCAUAAAAAUCGGCGUACUUUUCAGAGUUUGAAGAAUAUGAAGCUAGUUGAAAAGUUGAAGUUUUGGGGCCCAAAGUUCACACAUUUUUUAAUGUUAUAUUUUGUUAAUUUUUGAGCCAAAGGCCAUUAGUAUUAACUGUCUGAUUAGUAUGGGACAUGUACAAAAAUAAAUGGGUCAAAAAUCCAAAACAAAUGGGUCCAAAUACUGAUCCAGGCAAACAGAAAGCCCGAAUUAUAACCAAUCUCUCUCUCUCUCUCUUUCUUAUUUGCUUAA
This is a long non-coding RNA of Solanum lycopersicum (tomato), 1135 nucleotides long. RefSeq lists it as uncharacterized. Lineage: Eukaryota; Viridiplantae; Streptophyta; Magnoliopsida; Solanales; Solanaceae. The record is from RefSeq and is a predicted model, not a curated record.